Long non-coding RNA from Gossypium arboreum, 417 nucleotides. RefSeq lists it as uncharacterized. The transcript has 2 exons. NCBI's taxonomy places the organism in Eukaryota, Viridiplantae, Streptophyta, Magnoliopsida, Malvales, Malvaceae. The record is from RefSeq and is a predicted model, not a curated record.
AGUAGACAGCUUUGAAUGAACUAUAAAUAAUAGUUGAAUUAUAGAGAAUGUUGCAUAUGAACAUGAAAUGUAUUAAAUUGAUAAUUAAAUUUAUUUAUUUAGAUCCAGAAGAUUCAAAUACGAAGCUAGAUCGAGGAAAGGAAAAAGUUCGGGAUUAGUAGAUUUUUUUUGUUUACAAACAAGUAUCAAGUGUUAAGAGCUCGGAGGUCGGAUUUGGUCGGAGACACAUCACACUAUCAACCUCAGGACUUUGGUAUAUAAAGAAACUUUAUUUUGGAAAUCAAUGGCAUGUAUAAGCUAAUAAAGUAAAUGAUUCUGUGAAAUGAAUGUAGAGUUAGCCAUUGGUAUGGUUAACAAACCUGGUUUUGGGUAUGUGAUGACGUUAUUUUAUAAAUAUACAUGAAUUUAUCUUGAAAA